UCAUCUAAGUAAAGAUUUAGUGACAAAAU
RNAcentral lists this non-coding RNA (29 nucleotides) under Bombyx mori (domestic silkworm). Lineage: Eukaryota; Metazoa; Arthropoda; Insecta; Lepidoptera; Bombycidae. The record is from RNAcentral.